Molecule: microRNA precursor, 73 nt
Filed under: Agrilus planipennis (emerald ash borer)
Lineage: Eukaryota; Metazoa; Arthropoda; Insecta; Coleoptera; Buprestidae
Description: mir-137 microRNA precursor family
Rfam family: mir-137 microRNA precursor family
Source: Rfam by way of RNAcentral
GUUGGUCACGUGUAUUCUUGGGUAAUUAACACAUUUUGAGGGAUGUUAUUGCUUGAGAAUACACGUAGCUGAC